UAUGUCAAACUCUCAAGCCUCGAUACAACCAAUAAUUGAACUCAUAUUUCAUGCGUCAAAAGAAAAAACACAAUAAACGUUUUCUGUCCUUCAAUCCUCGAUCCUCGAUUAAAUCCAAAUGUUUAUAUCGCAUUGUAGGUAAUCAUGCAUUAAAUCAGAAUAAUCUUGGCACGCGCAAUUUGUUAGUUAACAUCAAUAAGUAAUUGAAUAAAAGCGAAAUCAAUUACAAAACGCAUGUACUAAUUUCAUGCAAAUCAAAACUUAAAACUCUGCCAGCUUUUAAAGAAUGUAUAUAAACAAGAUCGAAUUAUGUUAUUAUUCACAUUGUGCAUCAUCGUGCAUUGCAGUGGCACCACUAACCAAAAACAGUUUUAAAAUAAUCAAAGAUGAAGAAAUUUGUGCUCAUUUUUGUUCUGGCGGUUCAUGCCGUUAGAUGCAUAAGCAUGUAUCAGUAUGUUAACGAGCAAGGAGAACAAUGCGUCUGUGCCACAACAGGAGAUCCCGACAUGUAUGAUAAUCCAUCCAUUGAUCUGCCAUCUUCAGAAAGAACUGUUGAUUCCUGCGAAUAUCGUCCAGGGAAUGCGGAACACGCAUACAAUCCGAUGAUGGAACCCGAUGCUGAUGCAUAUGCACCACCAUCUCGUGGUUCACAAUAUCGCCGUGGAAUGCCGCUUCAACGACGUCAAUUUAAGGCUCGCUUUUGAAAAUGCAUCAUUUAUUAUCUUAAACCUAUCUGCUUAUCAUAAAAAUGUUGUGCACAAACAUUAAAUAAAGCUUUCAUUACACGAACUAA
Dalotia coriaria is the source of this 793-nucleotide long non-coding RNA. RefSeq lists it as uncharacterized. The transcript is spliced from 3 exons. Lineage: Eukaryota; Metazoa; Arthropoda; Insecta; Coleoptera; Staphylinidae. The record is from RefSeq and is a predicted model, not a curated record.